This 452-nucleotide ribosomal RNA is filed under the name Pseudomonas aeruginosa. RNAcentral's name for it is "bacterial SSU rRNA". It matches the Rfam family "Bacterial small subunit ribosomal RNA", at positions 8 to 462 of the family's 1533-position model. The record is from RNAcentral. Lineage: Bacteria; Pseudomonadati; Pseudomonadota; Gammaproteobacteria; Pseudomonadales; Pseudomonadaceae.
AGAGUUUGAUCAUGGCUCAGAUUGAACGCUGGCGGCAGGCCUAACACAUGCAAGUCGAGCGGAUGAAGGGAGCUUGCUCCUGGAUUCAGCGGCGGACGGGUGAGUAAUGCCUAGGAAUCUGCCUGGUAGUGGGGGAUAACGUCCGGAAACGGGCGCUAAUACCGCAUACGUCCUGAGGGAGAAAGUGGGGGAUCUUCGGACCUCACGCUAUCAGAUGAGCCUAGGUCGGAUUAGCUAGUUGGUGGGGUAAAGGCCUACCAAGGCGACGAUCCGUAACUGGUCUGAGAGGAUGAUCAGUCACACUGGAACUGAGACACGGUCCAGACUCCUACGGGAGGCAGCAGUGGGGAAUAUUGGACAAUGGGCGAAAGCCUGAUCCAGCCAUGCCGCGUGUGUGAAGAAGGUCUUCGGAUUGUAAAGCACUUUAAGUUGGGAGGAAGGGCAGUAAGUUA